Molecule: ribosomal RNA, 2404 nt
Filed under: Salmonella enterica subsp. enterica serovar Typhimurium
Lineage: Bacteria; Pseudomonadati; Pseudomonadota; Gammaproteobacteria; Enterobacterales; Enterobacteriaceae
Description: partial 23S ribosomal RNA
Rfam family: Bacterial large subunit ribosomal RNA
Source: RNAcentral
UGAACUCCACAUCCGCAUCCUUUGCUGAGGAUACGGUUAACGGAGCGAAAGCGACGUUCAACCGCAAAACAAGCAGAGGGGGCUUAGUGGUGGGGUGACUGCGUACCUUUUGUAUAAUGGGUCAGCGACUUAUAUUCUGUAGCAAGGUUAACCGAAUAGGGGAGCCGGAGGGAAACCGAGUCUUAAUUGGGCGUUAAGUUGCAGGGUAUAGACCCGAAACCCGGUGAUCUAGCCAUGGGCAGGUUGAAGGUUGGGUAACACUAACUGGAGGACCGAACCGACUAAUGUUGAAAAAUUAGCGGAUGACCUGUGGCUGGGGGUGAAAGGCCAAUCAAACCGGGAGAUAGCUGGUUCUCCCCGAAAGCUAUUUAGGUAGCGCCUCGUGAAUUCAUCUCCGGGGGUAGAGCACUGUUUCGGCUAGGGGGCCAUCCCGGCUUACCAACCCGAUGCAAACUGCGAAUACCGGAGAAUGUUAUCACGGGAGACACACGGCGGGUGCUAACGUCCGUCGUGAAGAGGGAAACAACCCAGACCGCCAGCUAAGGUCCCAAAGUCAUGGUUAAGUGGGAAACGAUGUGGGAAGGCCCAGACAGCCAGGAUGUUGGCUUAGAAGCAGCCAUCAUUUAAAGAAAGCGUAAUAGCUCACUGGUCGAGUCGGCCUGCGCGGAAGAUGUAACGGGGCUAAACCAUGCACCGAAGCUGCGGCAGCGAACGUAUCACCCAAGACAACUUUACGGAGUUGACGAUUGACGGAGCGAAGCGACGUCAAAGCGUUCAUUAAAGUCGAGUUGGCUUAGGGAUACGUUCGUUGGGUAGGGGAGCGUUCUGUAAGCCUGUGAAGGUGUGUCGUGAGGCAUGCUGGAGGUAUCAGAAGUGCGAAUGCUGACAUAAGUAACGAUAAAGCGGGUGAAAAGCCCGCUCGCCGGAAGACCAAGGGUUCCUGUCCAACGUUAAUCGGGGCAGGGUGAGUCGACCCCUAAGGCGAGGCCGAAAGGCGUAGUCGAUGGGAAACGGGUUAAUAUUCCCGUACUUGGUGUUACUGCGAAGGGGGGACGGAGAAGGCUAUGUUGGCCGGGCGACGGUUGUCCCGGUUUAAGCGUGUAGGUGUGUGUUCCAGGUAAAUCCGGUUCACUUUAACACUGAGGCGUGACGACGAGGCACUACGGUGCUGAAGCAACAAAUGCCCUGCUUCCAGGAAAAGCCUCUAAGCAUCAGGUAACAUCAAAUCGUACCCCAAACCGACACAGGUGGUCAGGUAGAGAAUACCAAGGCGCUUGAGAGAACUCGGGUGAAGGAACUAGGCAAAAUGGUGCCGUAACUUCGGGAGAAGGCACGCUGACACGUAGGUGAAGUGAUUUACUCAUGGAGCUGAAGUCAGUCGAAGAUACCAGCUGGCUGCAACUGUUUAUUAAAAACACAGCACUGUGCAAACACGAAAGUGGACGUAUACGGUGUGACGCCUGCCCGGUGCCGGAAGGUUAAUUGAUGGGGUCAGCGCAAGCGAAGCUCCUGAUCGAAGCCCCGGUAAACGGCGGCCGUAACUAUAACGGUCCUAAGGUAGCGAAAUUCCUUGUCGGGUAAGUUCCGACCUGCACGAAUGGCGUAAUGAUGGCCAGGCUGUCUCCACCCGAGACUCAGUGAAAUUGAACUCGCUGUGAAGAUGCAGUGUACCCGCGGCAAGACGGAAAGACCCCGUGAACCUUUACUAUAGCUUGACACUGAACAUUGAGCCUUGAUGUGUAGGAUAGGUGGGAGGCUUUGAAGUGUGGACGCCAGUCUGCAUGGAGCCGACCUUGAAAUACCACCCUUUAAUGUUUGAUGUUCUAACGUGGACCCGUAAUCCGGGUUGCGGACAGUGUCUGGUGGGUAGUUUGACUGGGGCGGUCUCCUCCUAAAGAGUAACGGAGGAGCACGAAGGUUGGCUAAUCCUGGUCGGACAUCAGGAGGUUAGUGCAAUGGCAUAAGCCAGCUUGACUGCGAGCGUGACGGCGCGAGCAGGUGCGAAAGCAGGUCAUAGUGAUCCGGUGGUUCUGAAUGGAAGGGCCAUCGCUCAACGGAUAAAAGGUACUCCGGGGAUAACAGGCUGAUACCGCCCAAGAGUUCAUAUCGACGGCGGUGUUUGGCACCUCGAUGUCGGCUCAUCACAUCCUGGGGCUGAAGUAGGUCCCAAGGGUAUGGCUGUUCGCCAUUUAAAGUGGUACGCGAGCUGGGUUUAGAACGUCGUGAGACAGUUCGGUCCCUAUCUGCCGUGGGCGCUGGAGAACUGAGGGGGGCUGCUCCUAGUACGAGAGGACCGGAGUGGACGCAUCACUGGUGUUCGGGUUGUCAUGCCAAUGGCACUGCCCGGUAGCUAAAUGCGGAAGAGAUAAGUGCUGAAAGCAUCUAAGCACGAAACUUGCCCCGA